RNAcentral lists this ribosomal RNA (531 nucleotides) under uncultured bacterium. RNAcentral's name for it is "bacterial SSU rRNA". It matches the Rfam family "Bacterial small subunit ribosomal RNA", at positions 8 to 526 of the family's 1533-position model. The record is from RNAcentral.
AGAGUUUGAUCAUGGCUCAGGACGAACGCUGGCGGCGUGCUUAACACAUGCAAGUGGAGCGACGAACCAGGGCUUGCCCUGGGGCAGAGCCGCGAACGGGUGAGUAACACGUGGGCAACCUGCCCCGAUGACUGGGACAACCCGGGGAAACCCGGGCUAAUACCGGAUGUGCUCCCUCACAUCAGUGAGACGAGUAAAGGAAGCUUCGGCCUCCGCAUCGGGAUGGGCCCGCGGCCCAUUAGCUUGUUGGUGGGGUAAUGGCCUACCAAGGCAACGAUGGGUAGCUGGUCUGAGAGGACGAUCAGCCACACUGGGACUGAGACACGGCCCAGACUCCUACGGGAGGCAGCAGUGGGGAAUCUUGCGCAAUGCGCGAAAGCGUGACGCAGCAACGCCGCGUGGGGGAAGAAGGCCUUCGGGUUGUAAACCCCUUUCAGUUGGGACGAAGGUCGGGCCGUUAAUAGCGGUUCCGGCUGACGGUACCUUCACAAGAAGCUCCGGCUAACUACGUGCCAGCAGCGGCGGUAAUUC